This 255-nucleotide ribosomal RNA is filed under the name uncultured bacterium. RNAcentral describes it as "partial 16S ribosomal RNA". It matches the Rfam family "Bacterial small subunit ribosomal RNA", at positions 524 to 776 of the family's 1533-position model. The record is from RNAcentral.
UACGGGGGGAGCAAGCGUUGUUCGGAUUUACUGGGCGUAAAGGGCGCGUAGGCGGCCUCUGCAAGUCGACUGUGAAAUCUCCGGGCUUAACCCGGAACGGUCAGCCGAUACUGCAGGGCUAGAGUGCAGAAGGGGCAACUGGAAUUCUCGGUGUAGCGGUGAAAUGCGUAGAUAUCAGGAGGAACACCGAUGGCGAAGGCAGGUCUCUGGGCAUUAACUGACGCUGAGGAGCGGAAAGCAUGGGGAGCGAACAGG